RNAcentral lists this ribosomal RNA (495 nucleotides) under uncultured bacterium. RNAcentral describes it as "partial 16S ribosomal RNA". It matches the Rfam family "Bacterial small subunit ribosomal RNA", at positions 28 to 507 of the family's 1533-position model. The record is from RNAcentral.
GACGAACGCUGGCGGCGUGCCUAAUACAUGCAAGUAGAACGCUGAAGGAGGAGCUUGCUUCUCUGGAUGAGUUGCGAACGGGUGAGUAACGCGUAGGUAACCUGCCUGGUAGCGGGGGAUAACUAUUGGAAACGAUAGCUAAUACCGCAUAAGAGUAGAUGUUGCAUGACAUUUGCUUAAAAGGUGCAAUUGCAUCACUACCAGAUGGACCUGCGUUGUAUUAGCUAGUUGGUGGGGUAACGGCUCACCAAGGCGACGAUACAUAGCCGACCUGAGAGGGUGAUCGGCCACACUGGGACUGUGACCCGGCCCAGACUCCUACGGGAGGCAGCAGUAGGGAAUCUUCGGCAAUGGACGGAAGUCUGACCGAGCAACGCCGCGUGAGUGAAGAAGGUUUUCGGAUCGUAAAGCUCUGUUGUAAGAGAAGAACGAGUGUGAGAGUGGAAAGUUCACACUGUGACGGUAUCUUACCAGAAAGGGACGGCUAACUACGUG